RNAcentral lists this ribosomal RNA (447 nucleotides) under uncultured bacterium. Its description in RNAcentral is "partial 16S ribosomal RNA". It matches the Rfam family "Bacterial small subunit ribosomal RNA", at positions 29 to 523 of the family's 1533-position model. The record is from RNAcentral.
AACGAACGCUGGCGGCAGGCUUAACACAUGCAAGUCGAGCGCCCCGCAAGGGGAGCGGCAGACGGGUGAGUAACGCGUGGGAAUCUACCCAUCUCUACGGAAUAACGCAUGGAAACGUGUGCUAACACCGUAUACGUCCUUCGGGAGAAAGAUUUAUCGGAGAUAGAUGAGCCCGCGUUGGAUUAGCUAGUUGGUGGGGUAAAGGCCUACCAAGGCGACGAUCCAUAGCUGGUCUGAGAGGAUGAUCAGCCACACUGGGACUGAGACACGGCCCAGACUCCUACGGGAGGCAGCAGUGGGGAAUAUUGGACAAUGGGCGCAAGCCUGAUCCAGCCAUGCCGCGUGAGUGAUGAAGGCCCUAGGGUUGUAAAGCUCUUUCACCGGUGAAGAUAAUGACGGUAACCGGAGAAGAAGCCCCGGCUAACUUCGUGCCAGCCGCCGCGGUAA